RNAcentral lists this unclassified non-coding RNA (400 nucleotides) under soil metagenome. Its description in RNAcentral is "partial contains 5.8S ribosomal RNA, internal transcribed spacer 2, and large subunit ribosomal RNA". The stretch from base 1 to 122 matches the Rfam family "5.8S ribosomal RNA", at positions 35 to 154 of the family's 154-position model. The record is from RNAcentral.
GAUGAAGAACGUAGCAAAAUGCGAUACUUGGUGUGAAUUGCAGAAUCCCGUGAACCAUCGAGUUUUUGAACGCAAGUUGCGCCCGAAGCCUUUUGGCCGAGGGCACGUCUGCCUGGGCGUCACAUAUCGUUGCCUGAUGCCAGUUUCCUCGUGAUGGGUGACUGUGCAGGGCGAAUGAUGGCUUCCCGUGAGCAUUGUUGCCUCAUGGUUGGUUGAAAAUUGAGUCCUUGGUAGGGAGCGCCGUGAUAGAUGGUGGUUGAGUGACGAACGAGACCCAAUCAUGUGAGACCCCUACCGAAUUUGGCCUUCAUGACCCACAUGCGUCUUUGGAACGCUCAUGACGAGACCUCAGGUCAGGCGGGGCUACCCGCUGAGUUUAAGCAUAUCAAUAAGCGGAGGA